This is a long non-coding RNA of Andrographis paniculata, 534 nucleotides long. RefSeq lists it as uncharacterized. Lineage: Eukaryota; Viridiplantae; Streptophyta; Magnoliopsida; Lamiales; Acanthaceae. The transcript has 3 exons. The record is from RefSeq and is a predicted model, not a curated record.
GUAUGGCAGCAGGGCGUCGUCUCUAUCUCGUCUUAUACCGUUCUACAACUACUAUUUGACGAAGCUGUGAAAGGCGAAGUCAUCAACGUGUACCUACAUCAUCUAUGCAGCAAUGAAUAUCAGCUCCAACACAAUCCGCAAGUGUGGUGUGGUUGUGUGCCAUGGUUCGUAGCGAAAGCCGUGAACAACGCGCUAUCACGACCAAGCAGGGGAGCGAAAAAGCCGAUCAUCAAUAGGGGUAAUGUGGUCACGUUUGCCAACUCACUGCAAGUGACUGUAGGCCAAAAGAUCGCCGGAAUUAUGGACAAAAUCUGGUCUGGGUGCCGGUACAUAUUUCUACCCGUACACACCCGGUUUCACUGGCAUCUCUGCAUAUUGGAUACCGUCAAACACGUUAUGCUGGAGUGUAACUCAAUGCGCGACUCCUUCGGCCAGGGGAAUGCAAAGAAAUUGACGCGAUUUUUAUCAUUGUACAUGAACGCGUCACGACUAUGGCCUAUGGUCAGCGACACACCCGAGUACAUUAGAUUCCAA